UGGGGAAUAUUGGACAAUGAGCGCAAGCCUGAUCCAGCCAUGCCGCGUGAGUGAUGAAGGCCUUAGGGUUGUAAAGCUCUUUUAGCGGGGAAGAUAAUGACGGUACCCGCAGAAAAAGCCCCGGCUAACUUCGUGCCAGCAGCCGCGGUAAUACGAAGGGGGCUAGCGUUGCUCGGAAUUACUGGGCGUAAAGCGCACGUAGGCGGACUCUUAAGUCGGUGGUGAAAUCCUGGAGCUCAACUCCAGAACUGCCUUCGAUACUGGGAGUCUAGAGUUCGGGAGAGGUGAGUGGAACUGCGAGUGUAGAGGUGAAAUUCGUAGAUAUUCACAAGAACACCAGUGGCGAAGGCGGCUCACUGGCCCGAUACUGACGCUGAGGUGCGAAAGCGUGGGGAGCAAACA
RNAcentral lists this ribosomal RNA (402 nucleotides) under uncultured bacterium. RNAcentral describes it as "bacterial SSU rRNA". It matches the Rfam family "Bacterial small subunit ribosomal RNA", at positions 355 to 774 of the family's 1533-position model. The record is from RNAcentral.